UGGGGAAUAUUGGGCAAUGGGGGAAACCCUGACCCAGCGACGCCGCGUGGAGGAAGGAGCCCUUCGGGGUGUAAACUCCUGUUGUAAGGGAAGAAGGCAGUGACGGUACCUUACGAGGAAGCCCCGGCAAACUACGUGCCAGCAGCCGCGGUAACACGUAGGGGGCGAGCGUUGUCCGGAAUUACUGGGCGUAAAGCGCACGCAGGCGGAUGCGCGCGUCGGCUGUGAAAUGCACCGGCUCAACCGGCGCACUGCGGUCGAUACGGCGCAUCUGGAGUGCGGGAGAGGGAAGCGGAAUUCCCGGUGUAGCGGUGAAAUGCGUAGAUAUCGGGAGGAACGCCGGUGGCGAAGGCGGCUUCCUGGCCCGCAACUGACGCUCAUGUGCGAAAGCCAGGG
RNAcentral lists this ribosomal RNA (396 nucleotides) under uncultured bacterium. Its description in RNAcentral is "bacterial SSU rRNA". It matches the Rfam family "Bacterial small subunit ribosomal RNA", at positions 355 to 765 of the family's 1533-position model. The record is from RNAcentral.